GGGGGAUUGGGGCACUGGGAGGGGGAACUGGGAGCGCUGGGAGCGAUGGGGCGGGAACUGGGAGCAGGAACUGGGAGCGCUGGGUGCGCUGAGGGGCGCUAUGGGGCAGAAUGGGGGCGCUAUGGGGCAGCUGACCCCCCCCCCUUCCCCAGACCCCCCCCAGGAUGACGUCGCCGUGGGGCUGAGCCGUGGGGCGGAGCUGUGGGGCCCCCAAUGUUCCCACGGGCGCUGCGGGCGCUGCUGGAGGGGGCGCGGACCCCCCCGGGCCGGGAGGAGGGGUGGUGCUGAGCUCCUAUAGGGCCAAUCCCCCCGAGUCCGACCCACAGCAGGUGAGUGAGUGGGGCCAGGGGGCUCUGGGGGGUCAGUGGGAACACGUGAGGGGCAGUGGGUGCCACUGCCAUGGGGUGACACCGCUGGGAUGACUCUGUGGGGUGACCCCACGAGGCGAUCCCAUGAGAUGACCCCGUAGGAUAACCUUUGGGGUGACCCCCAAAGGAUGGCCCUAUAGUUUCACCCUGAGUUGAUCCCAUGGGAUAACCCUAUGAGGUCACAAGAAGACCCCGUGGGAUGACCCCAAGAGAUGACCCACUGGGAUGACCCUAUGGGGUGACCUCAUGGGUUGACCCCAAGAGAUGACCCUAUGGGGUGACCUCAUGGGUUGACCCCAAGAGAUGACCCAUUGGGAUGACCCUAUGGGGCGACCUCAUGGGUUGACUCCAAGAGAUGACCCUAUGGGGUGACCUCACAGGUUGACCCCACGAGAUGACCCCUUGGGAUGACCCUAUGGGGUGACCUCACGGGUUGACCCCACGAGAUGACCCCUUGGGAUGACCCUAUGGGGUGACCUCACGGGUUGACCCCAAGAGAUGACCCAUUGGGGUGACCUCAUGGCAUGACCCCAAGAGAUGACCCCUUGGGAUGACCCUAUGGGGUGACCUCAUGGGUUGACCCCAAGAGAUGACCCUAUGGG
RNAcentral lists this long non-coding RNA (970 nucleotides) under Gallus gallus (chicken). Its description in RNAcentral is "lncRNA (ENSGALG00010003515.1)". Lineage: Eukaryota; Metazoa; Chordata; Aves; Galliformes; Phasianidae. The record is from RNAcentral.